UUUGAAUUUUAUGAAAAGAUUCGGUAAAGAAUCCCUGUGUCUGUCUUUCAGAAAUUACUUUAAGAUUACAAAAAAGUUUCCAAUAAAGAUGGGAAGUUCUCUACAUUCCAUGUUUUCUGGUCUUUUAAAUAUAAAGAAAGCUUCGAAACAUAAAAC
Long non-coding RNA from Centruroides sculpturatus (bark scorpion), 156 nucleotides. RefSeq lists it as uncharacterized. The transcript has 2 exons. The record is from RefSeq and is a predicted model, not a curated record. NCBI's taxonomy places the organism in Eukaryota, Metazoa, Arthropoda, Arachnida, Scorpiones, Buthidae.